UGCAAAUGUCCAAUUAAAGCAUCCACGUCUGUCCUCACCACUCUUGUUAGAGCCAACUGUGAACAAAGGAGGUGGAGGUCCCGCAUAACAAAGCCUGAUUUCUCUCCCAAGGAGCAGAAAGUUGGGGCAUUAGCUCGUGGUUUCUGCAGAAGCUACGAGUGCAGCUGGCACUCAACACGGAGACAAGAGGGAGGAAAAGGGGGAACACGAGUUCUCUCAAAUACACCUGCUGCCACAAAUGCCAGUAAAUGUCACCUGUCAUUUCCCGGCUCGACAACACGGACGCGGCCGUAUGGAACACCUUUCUUCUGGGAGUAGAGGCCAUGCGCAUGCUGCAUGUGUGUGUGUGUGUGUGAGAUUGGACUCUCACACCUCCUCCUCCCUGCUGAGUAAAUGCGUCUGCGAGAGACACAGAAGGUCUGAGGUGGAGGAGGAGGAGGAGGAGGACCGAGGCUACAAAAGAGAGGCUGUUACUCCCUCUGGUGGCUCACCGCCUGCACAGGUCAGUCCAGAGAACACGGCGUAAAAUGCACCUGAGUACACAAUCCGUCGACUCGAGCGGCUUCCACUCUGGUUUUUGGUCACAACUGAUCCAGCAGUUUCUGUAGAAUACUGUGAGACGGUGCAAGUGAAAGCUCUGACGCACCAGUAAGUGUAAACGGUCCAAUACUAAAUGUAGGAAAUACUGCUUAAACUGACUCAUUUAAUAAUCAAUUGAGAGAAGUGUUUUAAGAUUUGCAGCUUCGAUGAGAGUAAGACCAAUAGUGCAGAUUAUAUUACUCUAAUGUAACUCAUAAUUGAUCAACCGUCGCCUGCAGGCGGCAGUAGGUGGUAAAAGAAAGUCAGCCACACCAGAACAUACAUGAAUAGAAAACCUUUUAUUAAGGAGGAACGGGAUGAUUUGUUUCCCUUUGUUCUUUACAUUAUGUGCUAUACAAUGAAGAGGACACACGCGGCACGGGUGCUGACCCAGGUUCAGUUCAGGGUUGCGCCUCAGGUUCUGGUCUGGAUCCUUCUUCUCAUCUGUUGUACGACAUUGAGCUCAAUCUUUUUUGUCCUCGCUGACCCAGGACCAGCGCUCACAGCUGUUUAUAUGAUUAUAUAACUAGGUGAUUGAAAUGCUACUUGACUUUUCAAUGCAACAGCAAAAAGCAAAAGACAAAUAUGUCGAAUUAAUCAUUUUUAAAAAACAAUGAGUUUGGGAAGCUUAUCCAAUAUAUAUGAACACAGCCAACAACACUGACUUUCCUCUUUACAAUGUCAGGAUAUACUUAUUUUCAUAAAAUAAAUUGCCUGAGUUGAAAUGUGUAACCAUUAACUUCUUAUGGACUUUCAUUUGAGGAUAUUUACAUAUUUUAAAAAAGGAACCAGAGCACGUACGGAGUUCCUAUUGUAGAUGUAAUGAGAACAUUGAGGUGUUUGUGGUUGCUGCGAUACAAAAUCCUCUGUGAUUGUGAUUGGA
This is a non-coding RNA of Gasterosteus aculeatus aculeatus (three-spined stickleback), 1462 nucleotides long. Lineage: Eukaryota; Metazoa; Chordata; Actinopteri; Perciformes; Gasterosteidae. The record is from RefSeq and is a predicted model, not a curated record.